This is a long non-coding RNA of Oncorhynchus tshawytscha (Chinook salmon), 1569 nucleotides long. NCBI's taxonomy places the organism in Eukaryota, Metazoa, Chordata, Actinopteri, Salmoniformes, Salmonidae. The record is from Ensembl.
UCUGAUAUAGUUGUAGCUGAUAGGGUCAAGUAUAGUCUGGUGGUAGUUGUCUGUAGCUGAUAGGGUCAAGUAUAGUCUGGUGGAGUUGUCUGUAGCUGAUAGGGUUAGGUGUAGUCUGAUAUAGUUGUCUGUAGCUGAUAGGGUCAAGUAUAGUCUGGUGGUAGUUGUCUGUAGCUGAUAGGGUUAGGUGUAGUCUGGUAUAGUUGUCUGUAGCUGAUAGGGUUAGGUGUAGUCUGGUAUAGCUGUCUGUAGCUGAUAGGGUUAGGUGUAGUCUGGUAUAGUUGUCGUCUAUCAGUUGAUGAUUUACGUUGGGUCUGGUAUUUGUAGUUCAUCAGUAGAAGCUGCAGGGUGGGUGUGGUAGUUGUAGUCCAUCAGUAGAAGAUGCUGGGUGGGUGUGGUAGUUGUAGUCCAUCAGAAGAAGAUGCAGGGUGGGUGUGGUAGUUGUAGUCCAUCAGUAGAAGAUGCAGGGUGGGUGUGGGUCUGAUGAGAAACCUGUAGUACUCCUUGAGUAUCCCCAACAGUACACAUUUUAUUGUAUCCCUGGACAAGCACACCUGAUUCAGUACUGGAGGAGAAGUUGGGAAACACCGCUGUAGGACACAGAAACAUAAAGACUUAGCUAGGUUAUCUUUUUCAUAUUUUAAUGUCACCCUUAUUUAACCAUACAGUGUUCACAAAGUUACGCAUUAAAAACAACACAUUUCCAGGGCCAAACAGAAAACCUUUCUACUCAUAACCCAAAUAAGUACUCAUAACCCAAAUGAGUAUUCAUAACCAAAACGUAUGCCGCCAAACAUACCCUCAUAAAACUAACUAUCCUACCGAUCCUCAACUUUAGCAAUGUCAUCUACAAAAUAGCCUCCAACACUCUAUUCAGCAAACUGGAUGCAGUCUAUCACUGUGCCAUCCAUUUUGAUACCAAAGCCCCAUAUACUACCCACCAUUGUGACCUGUACGCUUACUGAAGCUGGAGACUUAUAUUUCCCUCACUAACUUUAAACAUCAGCUAUCUGAGCAGCUAACCGAUCACUGCAGCUGUACAUAGUCCAUCUGUAAAUAGCCCAGCCAAUUUACCUACCUCAUCCCCAUAUUGUUUUAUUUACUUUUCGGCUAUUUUGCACACCAGUAUUUCUACUUGCACAUCAUCAUCUGCUCAUCUAUCACUCCAGUGUUAAUUUGCUUAAUUGUAAUGAUUUCGCUACUAUGGCCUAUUUAUUGCCUUACCUCCUCACGUCACUUGCACACACUGUAUAUAGACUUUCUUUUUUUUCCUAUUGUGUUAUUGACUAUAUGCUUGUUUAUUCCAUGUGUAACUCUGUUAUUGUUUGUGUCGCACUGCUUUGCUUUAUCUUGGCCAGGUCGCAGUUGUAAAUGAGAACUUGUUCUCAACUAGCCUACCUGGUUAAAUAAAGGUGAAAUAUAUAUAUUUUUUUAAGUACUCAUAACCCCUGAUAAGUCUUCAAACCAAAUAAGUACAAAUAACCCAAAUAAGUAUCAAACCCAAAUAAGAAGUCAUAAUCCCAAAUAAAUACUCAUAUACUCUAAUAAAUACUCAUAACCCAAAUAAAU